Molecule: transfer RNA, 76 nt
Filed under: bacterium
Lineage: Bacteria
Description: tRNA-Met
Rfam family: tRNA
About the family: Transfer RNA (tRNA) molecules are approximately 80 nucleotides in length. Their secondary structure includes four short double-helical elements and three loops (D, anti-codon, and T loops). Further hydrogen bonds mediate the characteristic L-shaped molecular structure. tRNAs have two regions of fundamental functional importance: the anti-codon, which is responsible for specific mRNA codon recognition, and the 3' end, to which the tRNAs corresponding amino acid is attached (by aminoacyl-tRNA synthetases). tRNAs cope with the degeneracy of the genetic code in two manners: having more than one tRNA (with a specific anti-codon) for a particular amino acid; and 'wobble' base-pairing, i.e. permitting non-standard base-pairing at the 3rd anti-codon position.
Source: RNAcentral
GCCAGAGUAGCUCAAUGGUAGAGCCGCCCGCUCAUAACGGGUAGGUUGUUAGGUUCGAUUCCUACCUCUGGCACCA